GGGUUUAUAACAUUAAAAAGUAAAUGUAACAACUUUGACCACCUGGAAGGGCAUUCUCAUGACCAAAAAUCUUUUUAGGGGUCAUGGUAAAAAAAAUAACUUUUUACGGGCAAAUUUAAGCACAUCAAAAGUUAGAGGUAAAUAUGAGAGUGGGCGCAAAUUAGGGGCAUAAAUGUAAAUGUACCAAAAAAUUGAUGUUAACUAGAUUUCUAGGUUUAUCUUCAGGCAAGAUUUCUUAUUUCAGAAAUUGACAGAAGCCCUUGUAUACACUAGAAGAAGCCAAGCAUCGAGACAAGCCUAAAAAAUGAAUUAUAUGAAGCAAAAUUGAAUCGACAACAUAUUAUGCUCGUCGAUAAUCGAUGUUAUUACAAUGACAUAUAAAGAG
Molecule: long non-coding RNA, 385 nt
Filed under: Hordeum vulgare
Lineage: Eukaryota; Viridiplantae; Streptophyta; Magnoliopsida; Poales; Poaceae
Description: long non-coding RNA (HVUL_LNC008324)
Source: RNAcentral